Long non-coding RNA from Mus musculus (house mouse), 3665 nucleotides. RefSeq annotates it as RIKEN cDNA 5730405A17 gene. The transcript is spliced from 5 exons. Lineage: Eukaryota; Metazoa; Chordata; Mammalia; Rodentia; Muridae. The record is from RefSeq and is a predicted model, not a curated record.
UGAGCUUCCUUGGCCCUGGACUGUGCCAGGAGCUUUCUCAAACAUCCUCUCGUUUAUUCCUUUCAAGUUUUCCUUCCUCAGUCUCUGGUUAUUGGCUGCGUCUCCACCGGCCCCAUGGCUGUCACUACUCAAGGAGAAGAGAAAGAGCAGAACAAAGCUGUUAUUUCAGCGAUUCCUUUCCACUCUCUAGGAGGAAGCUGAUGCCCACAGGCCGAUGGACGGAUCGAUGGAUCCUGACACAGGAGGAACUGAAAUAGAAAUCUCCAAAGCCCUUAGGUCUCAGCUAGGAAACCUGCCAGGCAUCAAGAUGCAGCUUCUGCUUGGCAUUUAGGCAUGGUGCUGGAAAAGUAACUGAGAGUUCUACGUCCUGAUCCCAAGGCGGAGAGAAGAAGAGUGACACAGGGCCUGGCUUGGCCUUUUGAACCCUCAAAGCCCACCUCCAGUAACACACUUCCUCCACAAGGCCACACCCAGAAUCCUUUUCAUCCUAUGAAAGAGUUCCACACUCUGGUGACUAAACAUUCAAAUAUGUGAGCCUGUGGAAGCCAUUCUUAUUUAAAGCUCCACAGUGCUCAUAGCUUUAUUGGCCUUGGAGUAGAUACUACAUUUAUAGUCUUAACCUUGAAGUUAUGGGAAUAACACAUUGCUUUCUAAUGUGAUGUUUCUCUUCCUCUCAAAAGGCCACAUGUAUCCCAGGCUGCCUUUGAACUUCGAUGUAGUCAAGGAUGACCCCGAACUUCUGGUUCACCUAUUUCUUCCUUCCUAAUGCUGGAAUUUCAGGCGCGUACCACUAUGCCCAGUUUAUGCUGUGCUGGGGACUAGACCCAGGGCUUGGUGAAUGCUAGUACCGGAACCUCUGAUCCUUGUGUGAGACAAGAAUCCACCCUGUGCAAGAUCUGUAUGGUGUUCUGAAAUGGGAAUCUAGACAGCUAAAUCAGGAUCUUCUGACAAUGGACAAUGUACGUGUCAAGGGUGCCAACUUCCUCAUGGACUCAAAAUCCUACAUAGAACUUUCCAAAGAGCAAUAGCUGACAGUUGGCUGGGAGCCUCGCUGCAGACAUCAACAGUCGAUUAGCACAUAUGUUGCAUGCUUUACUGUGAUAUGUACAAACACUGUGGGCCUUCACUGCAAGUACUGCUCAGGACUUUCUGGCAAGAGGAAGGCUCACGUGUUGAUCACGUGCUCACACGGUGACUAAGCAGGCGUUUCAACUCCUGGGCACACUGCAACACUGGUGGCCACUGGGUUGCUGCAGCAUCUUCUGUGGGCACUUUUAUGCAGUUAUGGUUUAUGCUGCAUCUUAUAUCUAUAAACAUUUCUCCUAUUUUUUUUUUCUGUUUUCGUUUCUUCAUUUCCGUUGCAAAUAGCACCUUGGACAGUCUGUGUUUAUGUAAGUUUUGAUAAAAUUUUAACUUUUAAAAUAACAGAUCUGUGUUUAUUUUAUGAUAGUAAAUGUUAUCACCAUACAUGUUAUGUUUUUUGUUUUUGCUUGACAGUGCUAGGUUUUAUGGUCUGUCAUGUAUGUUCUCCCCCCCCCCCCCAAACUGUUACAAAUCUCUAAAUCUUGUAUCUACAGGGACCUGCCCAGUUCAGAACUUUAUCGUUCAAGGGUUAACUGUAAUAGGAAACACUGUGUAUAUUAAAACUGUUACUGUUUACUUUGGCUGGUCACUUCUCAGUCAAAUAGCUCCUUCCUGUGUCUGCUGAUAAGGGCCUGUGGGAUAGGCAGAGCAAAGUCCCCAGCACUCCCCACAGUCUGGAUUCACAGCAAGGUCACUCCCUUCUGCCAAACUUGGACACUGGCUCAUCUUGUCCGUAAGUACACUCCAGUUUCUUUUCAGAGGCAGACAGGUUCCCUUUCUUGAAGUAUUGUCAGUUGGAUCCUACUAGAUAAGGCCAGUUUAACUGGGGUUUUAAAACACAUUACAAAUAACUUCAUAUGAGCCAGCGAGAUGGUUCAGUGGGAAUACUUGCUGGGUAAACAGGAUGAUCCAAGUUAGACACCCAGGAGACACAGUGGGAGAACAAUUCCUGAUCGAUGUGCAUGCUCCUGCACCAUGUGUAGUGAUGAUGAUGGUGAUGGUGAUGGUGAUGAUAAAGGUCUAGAUGGCUCAGCAAGUGAAGGUAUUUACAAUCCAGGCCUGCCAGGUGAAGGUAGGAGAAAACUGAUUCCACAAAUUUGACUUCCACGUGUGUGCUUUGGCACAUAUACUAUAUAUAUAGUACAGUUGUCAAUAGAUAAACAAAUUAAGUAUGAAAGAAAGAAAGAAAACACGUUUUCCUCUGACCCUCACAUUCACUAGUGGGAUACAUAGGAAGAGAGGACUGCGUCACAAUUGGCUUACACAGGCAAUUACAGAGGGAACUUCUGGCAAAGCUAUAACACAACCCAAACUUCCUGAUCUUUAAUGAUUUGAUAUGGUAGCCUAAAGUCAAUAGAGAAAUAUAUUUUUAAACGAGAAUGUACGUGGACCUUUGAUCUUGUGGGAGAUUAAAAUCCUGGUGAGCUGAGAGACAGCGUUCCCACGCCACACUAUGUAUUUGGUUGUGGGCCUGCUACACCCACGCUUAGAAAUCAAACACUUGCUAAGUUAUUUUAGGAACCCGGAGGGAUCAAGCUCAGCAAGUGUUACACACUGUCUUAGGAGAUCCAGAACUCAUUGAAGAGUUUAAGUUUCUUGGGGAAUAAAGUUAGUUUGAGAGAAAAAGAAAUCAUCACCAUCAAGCCAAGCCUCAUAGAAGGCACCCUCAGACGGAGAUUCAUCUGGAGUGUUACCAACUAGAAAUCAAGUCCAACGUGUCCGUGCUGAAGAGGGCAGGAGUCCUGGGUUCCCUGGCGCUGGAGGUACAGGCAGCUGUGGUCUGGCCUGAAUUCAGGUUCUCCACAAGAAUGGUGCAGGCUCUUAAACAGCUGAGCCGCCUCUCCACCUCCAAGAGGUUCUUAUUCAUUUUAAGGCGCAAAUUCUUCAAAGAUUGAUUAAAAAAAAAAGGGCCUAGAAGGGUUGAACAUCAAUUUUUAAUAAUGAAACCUUUCAUCCAGUCCUCAAAAUUACCAUAAAAGGCAUGAGAAAUUGUCGACUUCUCAUCCCCACCACGGUGUGACAAGCCCUUGUUACAACAUCCAUCUACUGUCUCCAAAAAGCCCAAUACAAAACCCACACAUUAUAUCACCUAGUGAUCUACCAACAGAUGAGAGUUUAACCAGCGUUAUACCAGGAAGCUAUUACCACGGAUACUUCAAUCACAUAGCUGAAAAUAUGGAGAAAAGACAGGUAAAAAAAGAAAUCAUCUUAACUUGUAGUAGUCUUUUUGCUUUUUUAAAAUUUCUAUAAAAUACACUAAUAUCCCAAAAUAAAGAAUAUUAUGACACAUUGGUGUCGACUCACACAGAUGAAAGCUGAUGUCAGCUUUUUUCUAACUAAAGUUCAUUUCACCAAACCUUUAUAUAUUACAUGAAUAUCCAAGUAAAGUAUUUCUUUAAAAAAAAAAUUCAACACAAAGGAACAUAAUAUACAGUGUUUUUAUAUAUAUAUAAAAAAAAAUCAAUUAACAGGAAUGAUUCCACUUCUAGCCACAUUACGUAUCUCUUUAAGACAAUGGGAUCUCUUGCCAUUCUGUGACUCUUCAGUUCAUGUCAAUAUUUCCCAGCUACUUUUAUCUUAAA